AGCAGCAGCCACGGUAAUACGAAGGGUGCAAGCGUUAAUCGGAAUUACUGGGCGUAAAGCGUGCGUAGGCGGUUUGUUAAGUCUGUUGUGAAAUCCCCGGGCUCAACCUGGGAAUGGCAAUGGAUACUGGCAAGCUAGAGUGUGUCAGAGGAUGGUGGAAUUCCCGGUGUAGCGGUGAAAUGCGUAGAGAUCGGGAGGAACAUCAGUGGCGAAGGCGGCCAUCUGGGACAACACUGACGCUGAGGCACGAAAGCGUGGGGAGCAAACAGGAUUAGAUACCCCCGUAGUCCCUGUCUCUUAUAC
Molecule: ribosomal RNA, 303 nt
Filed under: uncultured bacterium
Lineage: Bacteria
Description: partial 16S ribosomal RNA
Rfam family: Bacterial small subunit ribosomal RNA
Source: RNAcentral